This 85-nucleotide transfer RNA is filed under the name Felis catus (domestic cat). It matches the Rfam family "tRNA". Rfam says of the family: Transfer RNA (tRNA) molecules are approximately 80 nucleotides in length. Their secondary structure includes four short double-helical elements and three loops (D, anti-codon, and T loops). The record is from Rfam by way of RNAcentral. Lineage: Eukaryota; Metazoa; Chordata; Mammalia; Carnivora; Felidae.
GCCUGGGUGGCUCUGUUGCUUAAGCAUCUGACUUCGGCUCAGGUCAUGAUCUUGCAGUUUGUGGGUUCAAGCCCCAUAUCAGGCU